Molecule: ribosomal RNA, 122 nt
Filed under: Periophthalmus magnuspinnatus
Lineage: Eukaryota; Metazoa; Chordata; Actinopteri; Gobiiformes; Gobiidae
Source: RNAcentral
CAUCACAACAAUUCAACUUGAGAUGGGAACUGAUCUUGUCAGACCUCAGAAGCUAAGCAAGGCUGGGCCUGGUUAGUGCUUGGAUGGGAGUCCACUGUGAAUGCCAGGUGCCACAGUGGAGC